UAUCUUUAAUGUUUAUGGAUCUUAGAAUGCAGUUGUUGGCUUUUUAAAAAAAAUUUUAUGAAAAACAUUUUAAAUUUCUUUCAUUCUUUGUAUAUACAGACUAAUAUUCCAGGAAGAAAAAAUAAAAUAAAAUGUGCUUAUUUAACUUGAAGCAAAGUGCCCGCCUUCUUGCAUAUAUUGCAAGAAUAAGCAUUCAGUCAAUAAUCGGUCAUCUUCAACACUUCUUACAAAUAAACUAGGUUUUGUAGUCUAUUGCAAGUCAGCAUUUCUCACUGGCUAUGAUGGAGAUGGACUUGGGAUCCUAGGAAGAAGGCCCGGAAACAACAUUUCUUCUCCUUUUAUGAUUUCAGUGAAGAAUGCAAAUUGCACAUCAGAUUUUGAGGAAUACUUUGCCAAAAGAAAACUGGAGGAACGCGAUGGUCAUGCAGUCAGCAUCGAGGAGUACCUUCAGCGCAGUGACACAGCCAUUAUUUACCCAGAAGCCCCUGAGGAGCUGUCUCGCCUUGGCACGCCAGAGGCCAAUGGGCAAGAAGAAAAUGACCUGCCACCUGGAACUCCAGAUGCUUUUGCCCAACUGCUGACCUGCCCCUACUGCGACCGGGGCUACAAGCGCUUGACAUCACUGAAGGAGCACAUCAAGUACCGCCACGAGAAGAAUGAAGAGAACUUUUCCUG
RNAcentral lists this small RNA (675 nucleotides) under Pan troglodytes (chimpanzee). RNAcentral's name for it is "retained intron". Lineage: Eukaryota; Metazoa; Chordata; Mammalia; Primates; Hominidae. The record is from RNAcentral.